CAAAAUUAUUAAAUCGUGAAUGGCGCUGAAAGAGUAUGUAUGCAAAAUCCUGACCCAAUAAACGGCAGAAUUGCAGAAGUUAUGCAAGAAACUGUUGAUAACUGGUUCCAUAUCCUAAUGGCGGAUGGAAAGAAUGGCUAUUUAUAGACUGUGGUGACUGUACCAGUGUUCUUGUCGUCUGGUGACAUAAUCUUUGUUACCAACAAUAGAUAUAUUAUUUUCUCAGCACUAGGAUCAAACUUGGGACAAGAUGUUUCCUCAACGUAAAAGGGAAGGACAGGUCGUACCACCAGUACCGUCCAAAAAACUGAGGACUGGGGAAAAUAGCAACCGAAGAGAGGGGCGUGUUGAUCCCAUCUGUGUCCUUCAGACGUACAUUGUCGGGAUUCAGCAUUUUGAUGGAGAGAUAUUCUUUAUCAUGUUUAUGGAUUAGGCCAAGGAAAAUUAAUUUUGUGGUUACUGCUUCAUUUACAAUGUUUGUAACAAAGAGGUAUCCCAUGUUUAUAAUUUCAGACAUGCAUUCUGAUAUGUUGUAUAAAAUAUUAAGCAAUGGUUUGAUAAUGAGAAGAAGUGUAAUGUUGCACUUUAAUGAAAAUGUGCAAAACCUGCAUUCAAUUGGUAUAGCUGUUUUUAAGUGAGCUUUUCUUAUCGAAAUUUGUCUGGUGUCUUUUGUCGUUUGAAGACGGCGUUAACUUUUCACAUUUUCAUCUUCUCCAGAAUCACUGGAACAAUUUCAAUCAAACUUGGCACAAAUCAUACUUAGGUAAAGGGGAUAUAAAUCGGUUCAAAUCAAGGGUUAUUUGAACGGUAUUGAACCCAAACAGAUAUUCUUUAACCGUUACACUGGAGAAGGGUCUGACAGCAUUGCGUUUGAGGUCAUGUUAUUUCACCUAUCACACUUGACCAAUCAAAUGACGACUUUCACUAGCAUGAAAAUCAGAACAUACUUGGUAUAAUUAUCAUACGCAUGCAGUCUUCGACUUUAACCGGUGGCCCGAUGCCCGAGGCCAGUAAAAUCGGGAUCGGGCUUCUAAAAAUAUUUAACCCAGGAGUCCGGUGGGCCUGUAAAUGUUUUAUUGUAUGUUUUGUAUAUAUUACAAAUAAAGCGUGAGAUUGACUCUGGCUUUGUCAGAAUCAUCGAAAAACGAUCAACCAUGCUGCUUUUUCUGAAGUAUUGUAGGGAGGCAAGGGCACUGGAAGUUAAUGUAAAUAUAUAGUAUGUGCACGUAUAAAAAAUACAUGCACAUACUAUAUAUUUACAUUAACUUCCAGUGUCUGUGUAGGGAGGGGGCUCGUCCGUGAAAUUCCAGACCUCACAAGCGUAUUUCGUAAACACAACCAUCAGAUCCAAAUUAAAAAAAAAACGGUCGUACAAGGAGAAAAGAGAAUGAAAAUUCAUGCCCCAUUUGACCGAGGGUGGGCCUUUACUAAGAUUUAAUUCUGGAGAAAACAAAAUAUUUUGUACGUGGUGUUUACAAAACAAAGUAGAACAUGAGCUGCUGAUGUAUCUUCGAG
Long non-coding RNA from Ostrea edulis (European flat oyster), 1515 nucleotides. RefSeq lists it as uncharacterized. NCBI's taxonomy places the organism in Eukaryota, Metazoa, Mollusca, Bivalvia, Ostreida, Ostreidae. The transcript has 4 exons. The record is from RefSeq and is a predicted model, not a curated record.